ACGGGAAGAGCCCAAACCAACAAGCUUGCUUGUUGGGGUUGUAGGACACUCUAUACGGAGUUACAAAGGACGACAUUAGACGAAUCAUCUGGAAAGAUGAAUCAAAGAAGGUAAUAAUCCUGUAGUCGAAAAUGUUGUCUCUCUUGAGUGGAUCCUGAGUACGACGGAGCACGUGAAAUUCCGUCGGAAUCUGGGAGGACCAUCUCCUAAGGCUAAAUACUCUCUAGUGACCGAUAGUGAACCAGUACCGUGAGGGAAAGGUGAAAAGCACCCCGGAAGGGGAGUGAAAUAGAACCUGAAACCGUGUGCUUACAAGUAGUCAGAGCCCGUUAAUGGGUGAUGGCGUGCCUUUUGUAGAAUGAACCGGCGAGUUACGAUUUGAUGCAAGGUUAAGCAGUAAAUGUGGAGCCGUAGCGAAAGCGAGUCUGAAUAGGGCGUUUAGUAUUUGGUCGUAGACCCGAAACCAGGUGAUCUACCCUUGGUCAGGUUGAAGUUCAGGUAACACUGAAUGGAGGACCGAACCGACUUACGUUGAAAAGUGAGCGGAUGAACUGAGGGUAGCGGAGAAAUUCCAAUCGAACCUGGAGAUAGCUGGUUCUCUCCGAAAUAGCUUUAGGGCUAGCCUCAAGUGAUGAUUAUUGGAGGUAGAGCACUGUUUGGACGAGGGGCCCCUCUCGGGUUACCGAAUUCAGACAAACUCCGAAUGCCAAUUAAUUUAACUUGGGAGUCAGAACAUGGGUGAUAAGGUCCGUGUUCGAAAGGGAAACAGCCCAGACCACCAGCUAAGGUCCCAAAAUAUAUGUUAAGUGGAAAAGGAUGUGGCGUUGCCCAGACAACUAGGAUGUUGGCUUAGAAGCAGCCAUCAUUUAAAGAGUGCGUAAUAGCUCACUAGUCGAGUGACACUGCGCCGAAAAUGUACCGGGGCUAAACAUAUUACCGAAGCUGUGGAUUGUCCUUUGGACAAUGGUAGGAGAGCGUUCUAAGGGCGUUGAAGCAUGAUCGUAAGAACAUGUGGAGCGCUUAGAAGUGAGAAUGCCGGUGUGAGUAGCGAAAGACGGGUGAGAAUCCCGUCCACCGAUUGACUAAGGUUUCCAGAGGAAGGCUCGUCCGCUCUGGGUUAGUCGGGUCCUAAGCUGAGGCCGACAGGCGUAGGCGAUGGAUAACAGGUUGAUAUUCCUGUACCACCUAUAAUCGUUUUAAUCGAUGGGGGGACGCAGUAGGAUAGGCGAAGCGUGCGAUUGGAUUGCACGUCUAAGCAGUAAGGCUGAGUAUUAGGCAAAUCCGGUACUCGUUAAGGCUGAGCUGUGAUGGGGAGAAGACAUUGUGUCUUCGAGUCGUUGAUUUCACACUGCCGAGAAAAGCCUCUAGAUAGAAAAUAGGUGCCCGUACCGCAAACCGACACAGGUAGUCAAGAUGAGAAUUCUAAGGUGAGCGAGCGAACUCUCGUUAAGGAACUCGGCAAAAUGACCCCGUAACUUCGGGAGAAGGGGUGCUCUUUAGGGUUAACGCCCAGAAGAGCCGCAGUGAAUAGGCCCAAGCGACUGUUUAUCAAAAACACAGGUCUCUGCUAAACCGUAAGGUGAUGUAUAGGGGCUGACGCCUGCCCGGUGCUGGAAGGUUAAGAGGAGUGGUUAGCUUCUGCGAAGCUACGAAUCGAAGCCCCAGUAAACGGCGGCCGUAACUAUAACGGUCCUAAGGUAGCGAAAUUCCUUGUCGGGUAAGUUCCGACCCGCACGAAAGGCGUAACGAUUUGGGCACUGUCUCAACGAGAGACUCGGUGAAAUCAUAGUACCUGUGAAGAUGCAGGUUACCCGCGACAGGACGGAAAGACCCCGUGGAGCUUUACUGUAGCCUGAUAUUGAAAUUCGGCACAGCUUGUACAGGAUAGGUAGGAGCCUUUGAAACGUGAGCGCUAGCUUACGUGGAGGCGCUGGUGGGAUACUACCCUAGCUGUGUUGGCUUUCUAACCCGCACCACUUAUCGUGGUGGGAGACAGUGUCAGGCGGGCAGUUUGACUGGGGCGGUCGCCUCCUAAAAGGUAACGGAGGCGCUCAAAGGUUCCCUCAGAAUGGUUGGAAAUCAUUCAUAGAGUGUAAAGGCAUAAGGGAGCUUGACUGCGAGACCUACAAGUCGAGCAGGGUCGAAAGACGGACUUAGUGAUCCGGUGGUUCCGCAUGGAAGGGCCAUCGCUCAACGGAUAAAAGCUACCCCGGGGAUAACAGGCUUAUCUCCCCCAAGAGUUCACAUCGACGGGGAGGUUUGGCACCUCGAUGUCGGCUCAUCGCAUCCUGGGGCUGUAGUCGGUCCCAAGGGUUGGGCUGUUCGCCCAUUAAAGCGGUACGCGAGCUGGGUUCAGAACGUCGUGAGACAGUUCGGUCCCUAUCCGUCGUGGGCGUAGGAAAUUUGAGAGGAGCUGUCCUUAGUACGAGAGGACCGGGAUGGACAUACCUCUGGUGUACCAGUUGUCGUGCCAACGGCAUAGCUGGGUAGCUAUGUGUGGACGGGAUAAGUGCUGAAAGCAUCUAAGCAUGAAGCCCCCCUCAAGAUGAGAUUUCCCAACUUCGGUUAUAAGAUCCC
This 2577-nucleotide ribosomal RNA is filed under the name Staphylococcus aureus. RNAcentral's name for it is "partial 23S ribosomal RNA". It matches the Rfam family "Bacterial large subunit ribosomal RNA", at positions 258 to 2837 of the family's 2925-position model. The record is from RNAcentral. Lineage: Bacteria; Bacillati; Bacillota; Bacilli; Caryophanales; Staphylococcaceae.